Molecule: long non-coding RNA, 222 nt
Filed under: Citrus sinensis (sweet orange)
Lineage: Eukaryota; Viridiplantae; Streptophyta; Magnoliopsida; Sapindales; Rutaceae
Description: long non-coding RNA (CSIN_LNC002116)
Source: RNAcentral
CCAUAUCUAGAGUACCAACCACAUGGAGAAGACACCGAAAUAAAUUUGAGUGACCCACCAGAUUUGAAUUAAGUUUUUUUUUCUUUCUUUUCGAUGAUUUGUUUUUUUUUUCUUUUUACUAUUCUUUUGCUAAUUGACAUUAUUUUUGCAUAAGUGUGUUUGUUUAACCAUUAAGUUUUCUCUUAUCAUUGUUAAUCAUGAGUGCCAUAGCUAAACAGUUCC